GCGGCUGUGGCGGAACUGGUAGACGCGCAAGGUUGAGGGCCUUGUGGGUGGAAACACCCGUGAUGGUUCGACUCCAUUCAGCCGCA
Molecule: non-coding RNA, 86 nt
Organism: Solirubrobacterales bacterium 70-9
Lineage: Bacteria; Bacillati; Actinomycetota; Thermoleophilia; Solirubrobacterales
Source: Rfam